Molecule: ribosomal RNA, 2785 nt
Filed under: human gut metagenome
Description: bacterial LSU rRNA
Rfam family: Bacterial large subunit ribosomal RNA
Source: RNAcentral
ACAAGCAUCGAGUGAAUGCCUUGGCGAUAUCUGACGAAGAAGGACGUGAUAAGCUGCGAUAAGCCUCGGGGAGCCGCAAAUAGGCGUUAUAUCCGGGGAUUUCCGAAUGGGGCAACCCGGCCUGCGAAGGUCAUCCCUCUCUGAAUCUAUAGGGGAGCGGAAGUGAACCCGCUGAAGUGAAACAUCUCAGUAAGCGGAGGAAAAGAAAGAGCAUCGAUUCCGUAAGUAGUGGCGAGCGAAAGCGGAAGAGCCCAAACCGAAGCGAUUCAUCGCGUCGGGGUUGUAGGACUCGGCUGUGAGACUUUGACGGUUAGGCGAAAUGUUUGAGAGACAUGCCACAGAGGGUGAGAGCCCCGUAUCCGAAAACCCGAAAAGCUCUACGAGUAUCCUGAGUAGCACCGGACACGUGAAACCCGGUGUGAAUCUGUGCCGACCACGGCAUAAGGCUAAAUACACGAUAUCGACCGAUAGAGAACAGUACCGCGAGGGAACGGUGAAAAGAACCCCUGUUAGGGGAGUGAAAAAGAACCUGAAACUUGAUGCUUACAAGCGGUCGGAGCUCCUUCAUGGAGUGACGGCGUACCUUUUGUAUAAUGAGUCUGGGAGUUUAUGCGUGCGGCGAGCUUAAGGGUUUUCGAUCCGGAGGCGAAGCGAAAGCGAGUCUGAACAGGGCGCUAAGUCGCAUGCAUAAUACCCGAAGCGGAGGUGAUCUACCCUUGACCAGGUUGAAACCGGAGUAACAUCCGGCGGAGGACCGAACCGAUAAACCUUGAGAAGUUUCCGGAUGAGUUGAGGGUAGGAGUGAAAGGCUAAUCAAACCCCGUAAUAGCUGGUUCUCUUCGAAAUAUAUUUAGGUAUAGCGUCUUGCGCUGACUCGCGGGGGUAGAGCACUGAAAAGGCUAGGGGACACACCCGUCUACCAACCCUUAUCAAACUCCGAAUACCGCGGGGUGCAGCAAGGCAGUCAGACUGUGGGGGCUAAGCUUCAUAGUCGAGAGGAAAACAGUCCAGACCACCAAUUAAGGCCCCAAAUACAAUGCUAAGUGGAUUCAAGGAUGUGAUUUUACACAGACAAUAGGGAUGUUGGCUUAGAGGCAGCCACCAUUUAAACAGUGCGUAACAGCUGACCUAUCGAGUGAAAUUGCGCCUAAGAUGAUCGGGACUCAAGCAUUGAGCCGAAGUUGUGGGAUCCGCAAGGAUCGGUAGAAGAGCGUUCCGGCAGCGGCGAAGUCAAGACGGCGAGUCUUGGUGGAGCGGCCGGAAGUGAGUAUCCAGACAUGAGUAACGAUAAAUGCGGUUAAAAUCCGCAUCGCCGUAAGGAUAAGGUUUCCAGGGUAAAGUUCGUCUGCCCUGGGUCAGGCGGGAGCUAAGGCGAGGCCGUAAGGAGUAGUCGAUGCACAGCCGGUUAAUAUUCCGGCCCCGAUCGGAGAGGACGAAGAUGAGAGCUGCACAGACCUUAAUGACUUGGCAGUCCGAGGCUACGGCCGAGGGCGCGUGCGGGGAUCAGCUUCCGGGAAAAGCCUCCGAAUUAAAGCCCGUACCGCAAACCGACACAGGUAUCCGAGAUGAGUAUUCUAAGGCGCGUGAGUUAAAUCUUCUUAAGGAACUCGACAAAUUGGCCCUGUAUCUUCGGUAUAAGGGGUGCCUCGCAAGAGGCCGCAGUGAAGAGGUCCAACCGACUGUUUAGCAAAAACACAGCUCUCUGCUAAGUCGUAAGACGACGUAUAGGGAGUGACGUGUGACCAAUGCGGAAAGGUGAAAGCUGGAGGUGCAAGCUUCUGGUCUAAGCCCCCGUGAAUGUCGGCCGUAACUAUAACGGUCCUAAGGUAGCGAAAUUCCUUGUCAGGUAAGUUCUGACCUGCACGAAUCACGUAACGAGUUGGACAUUGUCUCGAGAAGAUGCUCAGUGAAAUUGUAGUCGCGGUGAAGAUGCCGCGUUCCCGCAGCAGGACGGAAAGACCCUAUAGACCUUUACUAUAACCUGUUAUUGGUGUUUGAUUUUCAAUUCGUAGAAUAGCCGGGAGACUUUGAGCUGCCGCUUCAGGGCGGCAGUGAGUCGCAAUGUGAAAUACCGGUAUUUGCUUAUUAGACAUCUAACCGAUCAUCCGUGAGCCGGAAUCGGGACAGUGAUAGGGGGUUAGUUUGACUGGGGCGGUCUCCUCCCAAAGAGUAACGGAGGAUCGCGAAGGUCACCUCAUGCCGGUCGGCAAUCGGCAGUUGAGUGUAUGGAUAGAAGGUGGCUUAACUGCAAGACCUACAAGUCGAGCAGAUACGAAAGUAGGCCCAAGUGAUCCGGUGACGCAUCGUGGGAUGCUCAUCGCUUAAAGGACAAAAGGUACCUUAGGGAUAACAGGCUGAUUCCAUCCAAGCGUUCAUAGCGACGAUGGAGUUUGGCACCUCGAUGUCGGCUCAUCACAUCCUGGGGCUGCAGAAGGUCCCAAGGGUUCGGCUGUUCGCCGAUUAAAGUGGUACGCGAGCUGGGUUCAAAACGUCGUGAGACAGUUUGGUCCUCUAUCCGCUGUGGGCGCAGGAGAGUUGAGGGGUUCAUUUAUUAGUACGAGAGGACCGUAAAUGACGCACCUCUGGUGUUCCGGUUGUCGUGUCUGCGGCAGCGCCGGGUAGCUAAGUGCGGAAGAGAUAAGCGCUGAAAGCAUCUAAGCGCCAAGCUCCUCCCAAGAUAAGCUCUCUCUUGAGGAUCCGGGCAGACCACCCGGUCGAUAGGCCGCAAGUGUAAGCGCAGUAAUGCGUUCAGCUCAGCGGUACUAAUUAUCCGAUUGUUUUAUCG